Dermochelys coriacea (leatherback sea turtle) is the source of this 569-nucleotide long non-coding RNA. RefSeq lists it as uncharacterized. The transcript is spliced from 3 exons. The record is from RefSeq and is a predicted model, not a curated record. NCBI's taxonomy places the organism in Eukaryota, Metazoa, Chordata, Testudines, Dermochelyidae.
CAGGAGAAGGAAUGCUAUAUCAGAAAAUCUCAUAGUGCUAUGGUUAACAUGGUCUCCAGAGAGGGAGAUGUCUAUUUAAAUCCUCAAGCAAAGGACAUGUCACAGGGUGGCUGGUACCUGUGGAUACACAAACCCAUCACCCCUGGACCACAGCAGGUGAGUCCAAUCAAGCCAAUUAAGUAGGAUGGGCUACACCUGGGCCUAAUAAGGGCUGUGAGUUGGCAGCUAGAGGAGGAACUGAUUGAGAUAGGCUGUGUUCUAGGGAGGGAAAGUCCUAUGGGAGUGGAGUUAACUUCUGCAGUGGAUUACCUGGAGUAAGGGAAAAUCUUUUUCCUGGAAAGAAACUGGGUGUGCUGUGCAUACUUUGGAGCUGGUGAGAAGUCUGGCAUAGUGCAGAUGGGAAUUGAACCUGGGCCUCCCACAUUCUAGUGUAGGCAAAUGACCAGAGAGGGGAGCCACUGAGAUGAUGCAGCAGACUGAACAGUAUGGAAGAACUCUUGCACUGGGUGGCUGAGCAGCAAAAGGAGUUACAGAAAGCCUUCCAGAAGAUUUGACAGACACAGCACAAA